This 253-nucleotide ribosomal RNA is filed under the name uncultured bacterium. RNAcentral's name for it is "partial 16S ribosomal RNA". It matches the Rfam family "Bacterial small subunit ribosomal RNA", at positions 524 to 776 of the family's 1533-position model. The record is from RNAcentral.
UACGUAGGGUGCGAGCGUUAAUCGGAAUUACUGGGCGUAAAGCGUGCGCAGGCGGUUUUGUAAGCCAGAUGUGAAAUCCCCGGGCUUAACCUGGGAAUGGCAUUUGGGACUGCAAGGCUCGAGUGCGGCAGAGGAGACUGGAAUUCCUGGUGUAGCAGUGAAAUGCGUAGAUAUCAGGAGGAACACCGAUGGCGAAGGCAAUCCCCUGGGCCUGCACUGACGCUCAUGCACGAAAGCGUGGGGAGCAAACGGG